Molecule: ribosomal RNA, 773 nt
Filed under: uncultured bacterium
Lineage: Bacteria
Description: bacterial SSU rRNA
Rfam family: Bacterial small subunit ribosomal RNA
Source: RNAcentral
GGUUCGCUUCCGGGUGAGAGUGGCGAACGGGUGAGUAAUGCGUGACCGACCUGCCCCAUACACCGGAAUAGCUCCUGGAAACGGGUGGUAAUGCCGGAUGCUCCGGUUGGAUGCAUGUCCUUCCGGGAAAGAUUCUAUCGGUAUGGGAUGGGGUCGCGUCCUAUCAGCUUGAUGGCGGGGUAACGGCCCACCAUGGCUUCGACGGGUAGCCGGCCUGAGAGGGCGACCGGCCACAUUGGGACUGAGAUACGGCCCAGACUCCUACGGGAGGCAGCAGUGGGGAAUAUUGCACAAUGGGCGCAAGCCUGAUGCAGCGACGCCGCGUGCGGGAUGGAGGCCUUCGGGUUGUAAACCGCUUUUGAUCGGGAGCAAGCCCUUCGGGGUGAGUGUACCUUUCGAAUAAGCACCGGCUAACUACGUGCCAGCAGCCGCGGUAAUACGUAGGGUGCAAGCGUUAUCCGGAAUUAUUGGGCGUAAAGGGCUCGUAGGCGGUUCGUCGCGUCCGGUGUGAAAGCCCAUCGCUUAACGGUGGGUCUGCGCCGGGUACGGGCGGGCUGGAGUGCGGUAGGGGAGACUGGAAUUCCCGGUGUAACGGUGGAAUGUGUAGAUAUCGGGAAGAACACCAAUGGCGAAGGCAGGUCUCUGGGCCGUCACUGACGCUGAGGAGCGAAAGCGUGGGGAGCGAACAGGAUUAGAUACCCUGGUAGUCCACGCCGUAAACGGUGGAUGCUGGAUGUGGGGCCCGUUCCACGGGUUCCGUGUCGGAGCUACGC